Molecule: transfer RNA, 74 nt
Filed under: Christensenellaceae bacterium
Lineage: Bacteria; Bacillati; Bacillota; Clostridia; Christensenellales; Christensenellaceae
Description: tRNA-Pro
Rfam family: tRNA
About the family: Transfer RNA (tRNA) molecules are approximately 80 nucleotides in length.
Source: RNAcentral
CGGGGUAUAGGCUAACGGUAAACGGCUUGCUUUGGGAGCAAGCAUUGUAGGUUCGACUCCUGCUACCCCGACCA